This 324-nucleotide ribosomal RNA is filed under the name uncultured eukaryote. RNAcentral describes it as "partial 18S ribosomal RNA". It matches the Rfam family "Eukaryotic small subunit ribosomal RNA", at positions 1470 to 1796 of the family's 1831-position model. The record is from RNAcentral.
CCCUUAGAUGUUCUGGGCUGCACGCGCGCUACACUGAUGCACUCAACGAGUUUACGACCUUGUCCGAGAGGAUUGGGUAAUCUUUUUAAAAUGCAUCGUGAUGGGGAUAGAUUAUUGCAAUUAUUAAUCUUCAACGAGGAAUUCCUAGUAAGCGCGAGUCAUCAGCUCGCGUUGAUUACGUCCCUGCCCUUUGUACACACCGCCCGUCGCUCCUACCGAUUGAAUGGUCCGGUGAAAUCUUCGGAUUGCUGGAUAGGACUUCAUUGACCUAUCUGCGAGAAGUUGCUUGAACCUUAUCAUUUAGAGGAAGGAGAAGUCGUAACA